AGAGUUUGAUCCUGGCUCAGGAUGAACGCUGGCGGCGUGCCUAACACAUGCAAGUCGAGCGAUCUUCUUCGGAAGAGAGCGGCGGACGGGUGAGUAACGCGUGGGUAACCUGCCCUGUACACACGGAUAACAUACCGAAAGGUAUGCUAAUACGAGAUAAUAUGCUUUUAUCGCAUGGUAGAAGUAUCAAAGCUCCGGCGGUACAGGAUGGACCCGCGUCUGAUUAGCUAGUUGGUAAGGUAACGGCUUACCAAGGCGACGAUCAGUAGCCGACCUGAGAGGGUGAUCGGCCACAUUGGAACUGAGACACGGUCCAAACUCCUACGGGAGGCAGCAGUGGGGAAUAUUGCACAAUGGGCGAAAGCCUGAUGCAGCAACGCCGCGUGAGCGAUGAAGGCCUUCGGGUCGUAAAGCUCUGUCCUCAAGGAAGAUAAUGACGGUACUUGAGGAGGAAGCCCCGGCUAACUACGUGCCAGCAGCCGCGGUAAUACGUAGGGGGCUAGCGUUAUCCGGAAUUACUGGGCGUAAAGGGGUGCGUAGGUGGUUUCUUAAGUCAGAGGUGAAAGGCUACGGCUCGACCGUAGUAAGCCUUUGAAACUGGGAAACUUGAGUGCAGGAGAGGAGAGUGGAAUUCCUAGUGUAGCGGUGAAAUGCGUAGAUAUUAGGAGGAACACCAGUUGCGAAGGCGGCUCUCUGGACUGUAACUGACACUGAGGCACGAAAGCGUGGGGAGCAAAUAGGAUUAGAUACCCUGGUAGUCCGCGCCGUAAACGAUGAGUACUAGCUGUCGGAGGUUACCCCCUUCGGUGGCGCAGCUAACGCAUUAAGUACUCCGCCUGGGAAGUACGCUCGCAAGAGUGAAACUCAAAGGAAUUGACGGGGACCCGCACAAGUAGCGGAGCAUGUGGUUUAAUUCGAAGCAACGCGAAGAACCUUACCUAAGCUUGACAUCCUUUUGACCGAUGCCUAAUCGCAUCUUUCCCUUCGGGGACAGAAGUGACAGGUGGUGCAUGGUUGUCGUCAGCUCGUGUCGUGAGAUGUUGGGUUAAGUCCCGCAACGAGCGCAACCCUUGCCUUUAGUUGCCAGCAUUAAGUUGGGCACUCUAGAGGGACUGCCAGGGAUAACCUGGAGGAAGGUGGGGAUGACGUCAAAUCAUCAUGCCCCUUAUGCUUAGGGCUACACACGUGCUACAAUGGGUGGUACAGAGGGCAGCCAAGUCGUGAGGCGGAGCUAAUCCCUUAAAGCCAUUCUCAGUUCGGAUUGUAGGCUGAAACUCGCCUACAUGAAGCUGGAGUUACUAGUAAUCGCAGAUCAGAAUGCUGCGGUGAAUGCGUUCCCGGGUCUUGUACACACCGCCCGUCACACCACGGGAGUUGGGGGCGCCCGAAGCCGGAUUGCUAACCUUUUGGAAGCGUCCGUCGAAGGUGAAAUCAAUAACUGGGGUGAAGUCGUAACAAGGUA
RNAcentral lists this ribosomal RNA (1462 nucleotides) under metagenome. Its description in RNAcentral is "bacterial SSU rRNA". It matches the Rfam family "Bacterial small subunit ribosomal RNA". The record is from RNAcentral.